AUGCAGUCGUACGAGAGCUUCUAGCUCAGUGGCGGACGGGUGAGUAACACGUAGGAAUUUACCUUUAGGAGGGGGACAACAGUUGGAAACGACUGCUAAUACCCCAUAUGCUUUAUAGUGAAACGGUUUUUCCGCCUAAAGAGAAGCUUGCGGCUGAUUAGCUUGUUGGUAGGGUAAUAGCCUACCAAGGCGACGAUCAGUAUCUGGUUUGAGAGGAUGAUCAGACACACUGGAACUGAGACACGGUCCAGACUCCUACGGGAGGCAGCAGUAGGGAAUUUUCCGCAAUGGGCGAAAGCCUGACGGAGCAAUACCGCGUGAGGGAUGACUGCCUAUGGGUUGUAAACCUCUUUUUUCAGGGAGGAAUCAAUGACGUGUACCUGAAGAAUAAGCAUCGGCUAACUCCGUGCCAGCAGCCGCGGUAAGACGGAGGAUGCAAGUGUUAUCCGGAAUCACUGGGCGAAAGCGUCUGUAGGUGGUUAAAUAAGUCAACUGUUAAAUCUUGGAGCUCAACUUCAAAAUCGCAGUCGAACUAUUAGACUAGGGUAUAGUAGAGGUAAGGGAAUUUCCAGUGGAGCGGUGAAAUGCGUAGAGAUUGGAAAGAACACGAUGGCGAAGCACUUUACUGGGCUAUUACUGACACUCAGAGACAAAGCUAGGGUAG
Molecule: ribosomal RNA, 664 nt
Filed under: uncultured bacterium
Lineage: Bacteria
Description: bacterial SSU rRNA
Rfam family: Bacterial small subunit ribosomal RNA
Source: RNAcentral